RNAcentral lists this ribosomal RNA (475 nucleotides) under uncultured organism. Its description in RNAcentral is "partial 16S ribosomal RNA". It matches the Rfam family "Bacterial small subunit ribosomal RNA", at positions 330 to 797 of the family's 1533-position model. The record is from RNAcentral.
CGUACACUCCUGCGGGAGGCAGCAGUGGGGAAUUUUGGACAAUGGGCGAAAGCCUGAUCCAGCCAUGCCGCGUGCAGGAUGAAGGCCUUCGGGUUGUAAACUGCUUUUGUACGGAACGAAACGGCCUUUUCUAAUAAAGAGGGCUAAUGACGGUACCGUAAGAAUAAGCACCGGCUAACUACGUGCCAGCAGCCGCGGUAAUACGUAGGGUGCAAGCGUUAAUCGGAAUUACUGGGCGUAAAGCGUGCGCAGGCGGUUAUGUAAGACAGUUGUGAAAUCCCCGGGCUCAACCUGGGAACUGCAUCUGUGACUGCAUAGCUAGAGUACGGUAGAGGGGGAUGGAAUUCCGCGUGGAGCAGUGAAAUGCGUAGAUAUGCGGAGGAACACCGAUGGCGAAGGCAAUCCCCUGGACCUGUACUGACGCUCAUGCACGAAAGCGUGGGGAGCAAACAGGAUUAGAUACCCCAGUAGUCCC